RNAcentral lists this unclassified non-coding RNA (400 nucleotides) under uncultured fungus. RNAcentral describes it as "sequence contains ITS1". Lineage: Eukaryota; Fungi. The record is from RNAcentral.
ACGUCAUCCCCACCUUCCUCCGAGUUAACCCCGGCAGUUUCUCAUGAGUGCCCACCAUCACGUGAUGGCAACAUAAGACAAGGGUUGCGCUCGUUGCGGGACUUAACCCAACAUCUCACGACACGAGCUGACGACAACCAUGCACCACCUGUAUACCGACCACAAGGGAAAACGUAUCUCUACGCCGAUCCGGUAUAUGUCAAGCCCAGGUAAGGUUCUUCGCGUUGCAUCGAAUUAAUCCACAUGCUCCGCCGCUUGUGCGGGCCCCCGUCAAUUCCUUUGAGUUUUAGCCUUGCGGCCGUACUCCCCAGGCGGGGCGCUUAAUGCGUUAGCUGCGGCACAGAAGACGUGGAAGUCCCCUACACCUAGCGCCCACCGUUUACGGCAUGGACUACCAGGG